Molecule: long non-coding RNA, 2019 nt
Organism: Symphalangus syndactylus (siamang)
Lineage: Eukaryota; Metazoa; Chordata; Mammalia; Primates; Hylobatidae
Source: RefSeq, a predicted model, not a curated record
GAGAGGCUGCUUUCCUGGGCCUACAAUUGGGGUUCCCUUCUCCUUGCCAUCUCCAGAAACUCCAAGAGCUGACCCUCUGUCUUACUAACUCAAAUGGCCCAGAAACAUCAAAGUCUGACCAAAAACCGUUAAUGGUAGUCAGCUCCCUCCCUUUCACAGAGGUCUCACUACUGUCGGGGGGCGCCGGGCGCAGGCCGGGCGUGAGGCCUGGGCUAGGCCAGGUGGAAAGGUGGAAAGACCUAGUUGGGACAGACGAGGAGACCAAGGAGCCGCCCACCCGGCUAGAUGGACACAGGAAAGGCCUGAGUCAGGCAUCUCAUAAUAAAUAAACUGCACGUGAAUAAUUCAGCAGUCGCGCGGGGGCUCGUUUCAUUAGCGCCGCCGCCGCCGCCGCGCGGCGCCCAAGUCCCCGCGGAGGGGAGUAGCCAACUAAGGCACUUGAAGAGGGAGUCGGGUAGAAGAUCCCCCGCCCACCACUAUCCUGGAUUUACCUAGGUCGAGUUCAGAGAGCCUCCCCGGUCCCAACCCCCUCGGGCCCCAUGGGUCAGGGGGCCGCCUGCUGGGCGGUGCUACCUCAGCUAAGCCGCUCCGGUGUCCCAAGACUCCGGGCAAGGGAAGACAGGAGGCGAGACGGAGCCAGAAUAAGGGAUGCGGACGUCUGACCUGCGGAAAAUCCAGCAUCUGCAGUGCCCAGCUGCACAGGGAACGUGGGCGGCGUGGUUCCAAGCAAAGUGAAGACGCCAGGCUCGGAUCUGUGCUCAGAGCCGGGAUCCCUCUGGGCUGCUUCGUCCUGGCCGGGAUUUUCCUUGCCCUGAAGUGACGCGCCAGGGAAGCUGCAAGGCCCUCCGCCCUCUAUGAACUCCCACGUACUUGGGCCUCUCCGAGCCUUUCUUGGGCCUGUGGAUGCAAUUCCUGCAGCACCAGACUCCCCUGUCUCCCCGCCGCCCCCUAGGUACACUCCGUAACUUCCGAAGCCUUAUUUCGUUUGAGCGAAACCGGGCCCCUUUGGCUCUUGUCACUUCCCACAAGUCCCUGGGUUCCCGAUUCUGAGGGAUCGCAUUCAUCCCAUCUCACACCCACCAACGCUCAAUCCCUCCAGUUCCUCCCCAGCCCCUUCACUUCCAUUAAUUAGGUCGACUCCCUUCCUUCGCCGCCCCCUCCUGUCCCCGCGUAGCCUCUCUAUACCUAUGCGGCGAGCCUCGGGCCAAGACCUCCGCCCUGGCUCCGCUAGUCCUGCGGGGGCCGGCAUGCACCAGGCCUCAAAAGGGAUCUUCACGGGAAUUCCGCAUAGCCAGAUCCCAAGCCUCCAGAGAGGCCACCAGCCCUCCCCCAUCUUCUUCUUCCUCCUCCUUCUCCUUUCCUCUUCCCUCCGCCUCUACGUAUUUCUUUCUAUUCGUUUCUUUUCGUUUGGUGAGGUGCCACCCACCACAGCUCUGUCCCCUAGGGAGAGGCCUGGACUAACUUUGCCGUCCUCGUGGCCUUAGCCCGGACUGUGAGUCUCGAACGGCUUCCGAGAGGCAGCUCGGGUGUCUUCGCGGAGACAGCCGAUGGGGUGCCGGGCGUUAGAAACCUUCCCUCCAAUCCUCACCAUGUCUCCAUUUUGCCAAAGAAGAAACUGAGGUUAAGGUCGCGAUGCUCUGGCCAGCAUCACAGGUAAACGAUUUUGGCAGUGCCCGGAGGAGGAUGGAAGGGCCUCUCUCUGAGAUUUGGUCCUCCUCCUGCAGGACAGCAGAGUGGAAGCCAGGGCCUGGGACUCUCUGGUUGGGCAAGGAGGGACUGGAGUCCGGCUCCCGGCGACCCCGUCCCCAGUCCCAGCGGCGGGGUCGCCCGUGGCGGCGCAGACAGGCCACGGGUCCCUCUCCACAAGUCCCAUUACGUUGUAUUUAUGUUUCAUUUUAUUGUUUUUUUUUCCUCCUCCCUUAUUAUUGUCUCACUCUGGGGGAGGCAAAGGAUAUAAUAUAUUCAUCUUUAUUAUACCAAAUCUGUGUGAAGCAUUUAAUAAAACGCUGUUUCCACACA